AUGACAAAGAAAAGAAGGAACAAAGGUCGUGCUGAAAAGGGCCGCGGCCACGUGCAGGCUAUUCGCUGCACUAACUGUGCCCGAUGCAUGCCCAAGGACAAGGCCAUUAAGAAAUUCGUCAUUCGAAACACAGUGGAGGCCGCAGCAGUCAGGGGCAUUCUGAAGCAAGUGUCUUCGAUGCCUAUGUGCUUCCCAAGCUGUGUGUGAAGCUACAUUACCGUGUGAGUUGUGCAAUUCACAGCAAAGUAGUCAGGAAUCGAUCUCGUGAAGCCCGCAAGGACCGAACACCCCCACCCCGAUUUAGACCUGCGGGUGCUGCCCCAUGUCUCCCACCAAAGCCCAUGUAA
Molecule: long non-coding RNA, 347 nt
Filed under: Homo sapiens (human)
Lineage: Eukaryota; Metazoa; Chordata; Mammalia; Primates; Hominidae
Description: non-protein coding lnc-NDEL1-6:1
Source: RNAcentral